This 468-nucleotide ribosomal RNA is filed under the name uncultured bacterium. RNAcentral's name for it is "partial 16S ribosomal RNA". It matches the Rfam family "Bacterial small subunit ribosomal RNA", at positions 28 to 507 of the family's 1533-position model. The record is from RNAcentral.
GACGAACGCUGGCGGCGUGCUUAACACAUGCAAGUCGAACGGAAAGGCCCUGCUUUUGUGACAUGCUCGAGUGGCGAACGGGUGAGUCACACGUGAGUAACCUGCCCUUCUCUUUUGGAUAACUUCAGGUAACUGGAGCUCAUACCGGAUCCGAGCUCCUCAUGCAUGUUGGGGGUUGGUUUUUUCGGCUGGUUGGGGGCGGACUGCCGGUUUUCCGGUUGGUUGGUGGGGGAGCGGCUUACCAAGCCUUGGACGGCUAGCCGGCCUGGGAGGGUGACCGGCCACAUUGGGACUGAGAGACGGCCGAGACUCCUACGUGAGGCAGCAGUGGGGAAUAUUGCACAAUGGGCGGAAGCCUGACGCAGCAACGCCGCGUGCGGGAUGACGGCCUGCGGGUUGGAAACCGCUUUCGCCUGUGACGAAGCGUGAGUGACGGUAAUGGGUAAAGAAGCACCGGCUAACUACGUG